Molecule: long non-coding RNA, 2079 nt
Organism: Macaca mulatta (Rhesus monkey)
Lineage: Eukaryota; Metazoa; Chordata; Mammalia; Primates; Cercopithecidae
Source: Ensembl
AUGUGGACCAUGGACUUAGGAAGAGAUUUGGACACAAAGCAGAGAACACCGAAGAGCUGCUCAUUUGCACUGAAGUGGUUUGCUGGCUUUCUGCCUAGAUCUGACAUCUCUUCAAAUGGACGGUCCCAACUCUCUCUCAAUUCUCUUCCCCCUUCUCUAAGAAGAAACAGACCCAGAAGUUUCAGUAAGUUGCUCCAUCACAUUGCCAGGGCAGAUUCUGAAACUCACUCUAAAGCAUCAAGACAAUCUUCCCUGUGCAGAUCUAGACCAGUGUCUGGAACAUAGUGGGUACAAUAAAGAGUAAACAAGUGAGUAAUUUUUAUUCCAAGUGACUUCUCUGUAUUGCCAAAAAUGAAAUCUGAAUAAGAAAGUUCAUCACUAUUGAAGAAAGACAAAAAACUUCAACAUUUAUUGAUUAUCUGUCGUGUCCAGUAUAUUAACCAAUGACGUUAUACUUUAUAUUUUUUGUUCCAGAAUAGCUGUGUUCAGACUGUAGCAUAAGAAGCCCUGUGGAUUAUUAAAGAUAUGGUAAAAUAAUUCCAUUCCAAAAUAUAAUUUCUGAACGAACUUGGGAAUAAAUGCAUGGUUUUCCACAAUGAUGACUUCAAAGGAAAUGGUGCUCACUUGGAUCUUUGAUGGGACCUCUCUCUGUUGCCCAGGCUGACUUUGAACUCCUGGGCUAAGGGAUUCUGCCACCUAAGCCCCCUACGUAGCUGGGAUUACUGGAGUGUGCUACUGUGCUUGGCCAUGGAUCUUUUAACAUUUUAUAUACUAAAAGAGAAACAUUUUUAUGGCUUCAGUUCACAUACUUCUAUUUGUAUUACUGUAAGCAGAUUACUGUGUUUGGAAAGGUCAAUUCUCAAGGCUUCUCUUUCUACUUAGCAAUUAGUUCCAUGCUUUAUAUGUGCAAUGUAAACUGUGUAUCAGUUACCUGGAAUAUUUUUGUUUUGAAGUGUUUUCCUUUUUGUUUCAUCUAAAGAAAUGCUCAUAACCCAUUUUAUUAGACUCAGAAAAACCUUCUUGUUCUAUUCCCAAAUCAUCCAAUGUCAAGUUUGCCAAAGUUGACUGGUAUGGGAGAGGUCUUUACCAUACUGGUGAAUUACACAAGGUCAAAAUUUAUUUGCUUUGAUUUUUAAAGACAUCCAAGGGGGAAAAGGGAAGUAAAUGCUUGGUUAUUUAUUACAGUCCUGACUCUCAAUGUGGUUUCUAACUUCAGUGUCCUGUCUUUGUUGACUGUACCUUCACGUUUCAGUGCUCCUCCAAGGGGGCUGUUGGGCUCCUGGAGUUAUCUGUCCAUCAAAGCCAGAAGCCAACUCCUGGAGGCUGAGCUCGAGCCCAGGCAUGUCUAGGAAAUGUCUCUAUCUAGGUAUUACCUAACAGGUGAUUUUCUCAUUCUGCCAUGGGUAGUUAUAUUAAUACAGCAGAUACCUGGGACAGCAAAGUACCACCCACAUUAGCGCUAUGAUGUUUGGGUCUGGAAAGCUGAAUCUUUGAGGCUGUGUAACUCUCUAGAUGGGACUGGGUUCAUAAGACUUCGGAUCCAUUGGUGAUGAACAGGCUGCAAAGCACAGCACAGCAUAGGAAGGCCACUACAUCCACUGGAUGGCCAUUCAGCUCUUCUUCCCCUGCUCUUCCAGCUCAGCCCAUUUGCACCUAUUGAUACAUUUUAUCUAUUGCCUUUUAAAAAGUGUAUUAAGGUAAAAUUGUUGUACAGUAAACCACAUCCAUUUAGAGUACACAGUUUAAUGAUGCGUUUCCGGACAAAUGUAUAUAUCCAUGAAACCACCAAGAUAAUCAAUAUACAGAACAUUUAUAUCAUCCCCCAAAUUUCCCUCAUGCCACUUUGUAGCCCAUCCUAUCCUGCCCUCCUCUCUAGUCUCAGACAACCACUAUUCCGCUUUUUGUCUUUAUAGGUUAAGGAGCAUUUUCUGAAAAUUUGCAUAAGUGAAAUCAUCCAGUAGGCAUUCUGUUGGGUCUGACUUCUUUCACUUCUUUCACUUUUACUUUUGAGAUUAAGUCUACCAUUUUUUAUUUAUCCCUUUUGUGUCUUGUUCCUUCAUUCUCCCUUUCUUCUUGUUU